RNAcentral lists this transfer RNA (72 nucleotides) under Loxodonta africana (African savanna elephant). It matches the Rfam family "tRNA". Rfam says of the family: Transfer RNA (tRNA) molecules are approximately 80 nucleotides in length. Their secondary structure includes four short double-helical elements and three loops (D, anti-codon, and T loops). The record is from Rfam by way of RNAcentral. Lineage: Eukaryota; Metazoa; Chordata; Mammalia; Proboscidea; Elephantidae.
GCCCUGGUGGCACAACAGUUAAGCAUUCGGCUGCUAACCAAACGGUUGGUGGUUUGAAUCCACCCAAUGACU